AUUGAACGCUGGCGGCAUGCUUUACACAUGCAAGCCGAACGGCAGCGCGGGCUUCGGCCUGGCGGCGAGUGGCGAACGGGUGAGUAAUGCAUCGGAACGUGCCCAGUAGUGGGGGAUAGCCCGGCGACAGCCGGAUUAAUACCGCAUACGACCUGAGGGUGAAAGCGGGGGACCGAAAGGCCUCGCGCUAUUGGAGCGGCCGAUGUGGGAUUAGCUAGUUGGUGGGGUAAAGGCUUACCAAGGCGACGAUCCGUAGCUGGUCUGAGAGGACGACCAGCCACACUGGGACUGAGACACGGCCCAGACUCCUACGGGAGGCAGCAGUGGGGAAUUUUGGACAAUGGGGGCAACCCUGAUCCAGCCAUGCCGCGUGCGGGAAGAAGGCCUUCGGGUUGUAAACCGCUUUUGUUCGGGAAGAAAUCCUCUGGGCUAAUACCCCGGGGGGAUGACGGUACCGGAAGAAUAAGCACCGGCUAACUACGUG
This 484-nucleotide ribosomal RNA is filed under the name uncultured bacterium. RNAcentral describes it as "partial 16S ribosomal RNA". It matches the Rfam family "Bacterial small subunit ribosomal RNA", at positions 28 to 507 of the family's 1533-position model. The record is from RNAcentral.